UUCUCUUCCUUUCAAUUGCUCUUAUUUAUCUUGGUUCCUUAGUCCAAAGAACAUGGAAGUUAAUGGGAAGACUCCCAUGACCUCCACCACUGGGUUUAAUUUGGUUCCUUUUAUACUUACUGAUUACAUUUGAAAUUAUAUGAAGGUUUAAUUUUUCUCUUGUCCACUUCUACGGAGCUUAAAACCUACAUAAUGAUGUGUUAGUAUUUCAUUGGUAUUUAAUGAAACAUAACAUAAAGGUUAUGUGACCAUAUCAUCUUGAGGAAUAGUAUUUUAUAUGUGAUUUUUAGGGUAGAGUUACUAACUUUCUCAUGUAAAGGAAAGCAAAUUUUAAAUCAGAUUUUUUUUUCUCUUGUUAAGAAUUUGUUGUUAAUUACAAUAUUAAAUUUAACUAGGCUUAAUAAGAAACAUCUUAUUAAGGAUAAUUCUUUCAAAACAGAGAAAUACUUUUAAGAAAAUCAUCAAAGAGCCAUCAUUCUAUGAGAAAAGUUAAAUUGGGUAGGAAGAAGCUGAAAAAGGAGUGAAUAAUUGCUUCUUACAACUUUGGAAAGGAAAAGAUGAUGUUCUGCUGGCUCAGCUGCAGUUCUGUGUCUGUAGCCUCAUGGAAUGCCAGGCUUAACAGAUCACCUCUCAGUUGGUGAUCUUCAGACUUGAGGAGAUCCAUCCCUAACAGAGUUAGUGGUCCUCUGUGUAAGAACAGCUUGCACAAACCAUUAAAUAUGACUGAAAACGCUACAAUAAAAAGCAUGCAAAUUCCUAUUGAAGUUACAAAACAGUUACUUUUAAUGUGCCCUUUCCCUAUGUUAAGUUGUACUCAAUUUUUUUAGAUUUUAAAAGUAAGAGCUUUAUAACCUAUCAAUUCUAAGUGACAGCACGGGGAUUUUGUGGAUCAAUCAAGUAUAAAUUGUCAAGAAACCAAUAUGGUGAUUAAUAUUAACUGCAUGGCAGGCUGCAGUAACGAGAGAAUAGUCAGCAGCUUCAGGGAUUUUCUGCUUUUGGAUUUGUGCCAUACCUUGAGCACUGUUCUCUCCAGAGAAUCGGUUCAUGAGGUCCAGAAGUUUUGUGUUUCACUUCACUUUGUAUGAGGCUUGAAAAGCACCAGAGGAAUCAAUGCAAAUGUCUUCACAGACUUAGUGGACAAGCAAAGCUGGGAAAUGGUUACUUGAAAAGCUCUGUGUAUAUCCUGCUUUUCCUGCUUAACCUCAAUUGUGAGCAGCACUCUUGAGGCAUACAAGUUGAAGGACAAGCAUAUAGGUAAAAGAGGAUAAGGAGUAUAGAUAUAUGGGAUGCUUUGAGUGAACCUUUCUGUAGAAGCAGGAAAGUGUUACCCAAGAGGCAAAGCUGAAUUAUUUUAUCUUGAGACUUUCAGUUUCCUCUUUUUUUUUUUUUUAAAAUGUAUCUCUUUAAGUCAUGAACUAAAGCCAGUCCCUGCAAUCUUGGCUCAGAGUAGUCCACUCAAAUGAGUAGCUCUCAGAUUUUUUUACUAUUGGAACAGAUCCUGAUGGCAUAAAAAUUAAUGAAAUCUUGUGUCUCAAGCCUGAAAAUAUUAUGACAGCAGCCUCAAACGAGGUUUGAAGUUGUUUCCUGUGGGCUAGAAAAAUGCAAGUUCUGGAAUCGUAUGCAAAAGUGAAAUGCUUGUUCUUCUUAAAUCCUCCUCUAGUCGUCAUGAAGAUUUCCUUAGGAAAUGUAAGCAUGCAUGGAAUCACUGCUGUACACGUAGAAAAGUAGAAAUCCCCACCCUGUGCACAGAGAUUUCAGGUGAAAAUAUGCUCAUCAAAUUCAGAACACUCCUGUAAAACCUCUACAAUGAGUUUACUUCUGUACUGUAGAAAAUAAUGGCAAUUAGUGCAAAGAGUUUUCUAGCUUGAGAAAACAGCAAUGUAGAGAUGGUGCUGAACUUAGCUUUGUUUGUACAUAAUCCAUAGAACACUCUUUCUAAUGUUUCCAUUGCAUUUGUGGCCUCAGUUGCCUUAGAAAUUCCAUUUUCAUCAUUGCCUUCCAGAAAUUUUGUUUGAAAACCAUGUAAAAACAUGUAACUUGGAUUACCAGGGCAACUUGAAUUCCUUCCAUGGUAGACAAAGCUAAAAGCUCAUGUCAGUGGGACCAUCUGUCAUAUGUCCAAGGGGACAGAUGAAAUGUGCACUGAAACUACACACCUGCUUUUGUGUACAUUUGCCAAGACAGGUAGAUAAGUGUAGUCAUUUCCUUUUAUUUUUUUUUUUUUUUUGCUAGACACUCAGGGAUCAGUGAAGUGUAUAUACAUAGCCAGUCCUUUUGCUGUCCUCUUAGGGAACAUGAAUUUGUGUAUCCUGUUGUGAAGCAGUUGGUGCUGUUUUCCCCCACAAGCUCCUGUGCCAGCCCAUUCCAGUGCUCAGUAGAGACAGUGUCUGUUGCUUUUCCAUUACCUGUUGAAAUCUCCUUCCUGUUGGAGCCUGCUCUCACAAACAGUACUUUGGGCACGAGAAUUAUGCAUUCAGUUGAUGUACCACAGUGAAUUUUGUGUUAAAAUGGUCUCAAACCCCCCUUCCCUAUCUGGCUGUUGUCAGGUUUGUGUUCCGUGCAAUAUUCAAUAUUGUGCAUUCAAAAACUUGAACACCUGUUACUUUAAUAUUGCUGCUGAUAUUGAUUUACUCUGUUUCUUUGUAUGGAUAGCAGAGACAAAGGCAGGUAUAUUGAUGUGGCACGUCUUUUUUAAAAUGUUGCAAAUGUAGCAAUUAAUUUAUGGUUCUGAUGUAUUCAUGUGCAGCACCUUCUGAAUUAAAUGAAAGCCAAGUAUGUGUCAAGGAACACUGUGUCCUUAAAGUUGUGGAUUGAAGCAUUGUCAUCAGUGGUCCAGCUUUAUGAAACUUCUGGUGAUAAGGAAAUGGUUUAUACUUUCUAGUAUAUCAAGGCAUAAAAAAAAAAAAAAGGUCUUGUGUCUUGAUUCAAUAUUCAAUAUCCAUCUCUGAUGCAAUCUCCCGGACAGGCUUUGGGCAAGGUCUUUUAAUCUGUCUGUGCUUCAGAUUGUGAAUUUAGAUUCCUCAGCUCUGUGGGGGAAAUCUUUCAGUAGCACAGAGACCAUUUGUUCCAUGUGAGAGGCUGCAGAGCUGGCUGUAUGCUCCCCUCCCCUGGUACGGGAGCAGAGCGGUGUCAGGAGAGCACGGUGCAGCUCACCUGCUCUGCUUCUCACCUGCCAGGACACACACACUUCAUUCACUUUUCCAACACAAAAGUAAGGGAAAGCUGUCACCAUGCUCUUACAAACUGGAAAUACACAAGCUGUAUUAACAAUUCUGUGUCAAUGGGAAGCAGUGGUUGGUAAUGCCUAUGCGAGGAAGAGAGACUGUGAGAAAAAAAAUGCAACAAAUUAUCAAAAUAAUCAGCUUUUAUACAAUGAAAAAACUAAGUGAUGUAUCAUUAGCAUUAGAGAGAAUGUAGAUACAAGUAUCUACAGCUUUUUAAUCAAUUUUUUUUACCUAAGUGGACAACUGCACUUCAGGACUGAACAGCUCACUUUUCUGGUGGAAGUUUUGUUUUUGAGGGCAAAUAUCUGUGACAGCAAACAUGGAGCACUUUGGAGCAACAGGCAGCAGCUGAGAGCUGCUGUGGAGACUGGCCUGGUGCAUGUUCUCCCAGCAGCAGAGUGAAAUCCUUACCUGAGAGUCAUCUGUGGAUGUUCUGAGCUGCAAGCCAGUGCCCCAGACAAGGCCUUGCCUUUUAAACUCAUUUCUUACACUGAGGAUGGGGAGAGUUAGGGUGUGCUAAGGCAUGAAACACAAAGGUGAGUAUUGGAAUAACCUGCUGCAACACAUGAACAAACACAACUGUGUCGGCAACUUGCCUACACCCCCUACUCUGAUGAUCCAGAAUGAUGAUCUUUUAUGCUGUAAAAGUCAUUUGUGGUGGGUAUAGCUGAAAAUAAAAUGCUCCAAUAAAGUGCAACAGCCAAGCCACUGCAGUUUUGAUGGAAAUACAGACAUAACAUGAACUAGUCUUCAUCCUUGGGCUGUUUACCAGUUAAACCAGUAUCAAUGGUGCAAAGAAUUUUGAUGUGACAAUUUCAGUCUCCCCAUGUGUGAAUUACAUAAAACCAAUGUACUUGGUUGUUAUAUGUAGUCACUACUUUUAAUUUAUUCACUCUUCAGGCUUAAACAGAAAAUUAGUAUUUUUCCUUAUAACUACUCAUCUUUUCUGGAAAAAUCAGGAGCUUCACUGAAGUCAAUGGAAUAUGAAUGGUAUAUAAUAAUUUGUAAGUGCUGAAUCAUUAAAUAGCAUUUAAUUGAGCUGAGUAAUAAAGUCAAGAAUGGGAUCCUAUUAAACUUUAUAUAUCUCCUUGCAAUGACUACAAUGUGAAAUGUGUUCAGUUUUCUGUAGUCUGAGCUGCUGUUAACACUGGAGAAGAUGGUGCAUGCUGUAUUUUCACUGUGCCUAUUUCCACUGCCUCCUCAUUGUGCUAAAAUUAUGUAUGCCUUAGACUCUGGGAAUACCUGGUCCAGGUAACCAGAUUGACUCUGUGACCUUGUGUCAUGCACUGUGACUGGUGCAUUUUGAUUUUUACAAAUUGCAAAAGGUGGUUUUGCUGAUGGGCAGGAUAAGCAAUAGUGCAACAACUUAGGUUUUUUUCCAGUAUUCCAGAAAUAAAAAGGCAAAGUUCAAUAGUCCUUGCACAGUUCAAGACCUGGGAGCCUGGACUCUUUCCUCUAAAACUCAAUGUUUUGCAGCAGCAACCAGAAAAUGACAAUAAAUAGGAUGGUCCUUGCCUUAGUUACCAUACUCUUAUCUGUCAUAAACUCUGUAAUGCUUCAGUCCUUGCUGGAAGAGAGGAUGAAUGUUCAUUUGCAUGAGCAGAACUGUAUGUGUUCUAAAGGAUAUAUGUUAAAAAAUAAACAAAUUAAGUUCUGUUUUCCUUGUAUUCCUUUUUAAUAGUAUAAAGCAGGUAAAUCUUUUUCUGGUAAUAUGGUACACUGACUGCUGUUAUGCUCCUGUUUGCACAAAAUCUUACUGGAGAUUCUGAUCACAAUCAUUGCCCAGAACUACAAAACCGUAUCUUGCUAAUAAUUAUAUUUUUAUUAAUCAAUAAGCAUUUAAAAUAUUUCAUCUGUACUCUGUUGGUAAAUUUCUGAAGAGCUAAGAAGGGCUAUUGUGGUAGGCAUUGGUACUUGGAAUGCUUUUUUACCAUCAUCAUUGCUCCUUGAAUCCCUUUGUUCUUUGUCCUGCCUCAAAUUUUCAUUACCUCCUUCUGGUUUUUAUCUUUUCAAACUCAGUAAAGCUCUUGGGACCUUUUCCAAAUUCACUAAAGGCUUUGCUCUUGAGACCUCAUCUUUCAGUUUGCCUUAUGAAAUACCUGUCCUUUUUAAGUAUGCUGCAAAAUAACAAUAGCUUCCUGAGGCAUGAAAUGGAUUUAAACCCUCAGCACUUUCCAUGGGAUUCACUUAGCUGGGAAGAAGAGUCAUUUAUCAUCUCUGGAGAAAAGAGACAUGAGCAGCAGAAGAGAGAGUUUUACAGAAGCAGCUGAUGCCUGAGCGCUGUAAGAGCAGCGGAUGGAGCAGAGGUUCCUCGGGGGCUGCAGGAAGCUCUGCCAGUGGUUGUACCUGUUUAAGAAAACAUAUCUGCUAAAUGAAAGUCAGCAUCAUCUGGUGCAUAAGUUGCAGGCUGCCUCACAUCUUGGCUCAGUUUAGGGCAUAUGGUUCUAGUUUAGUUGAGAGGGGAAGAUUUUUACCUAAAUGUUUUGUAACCUAUCUACCAUGGCUCAGUGCUACCUUCUUUAUUUUUCUUGGUAUGUCAUUUUUUUCCAAUUUAUCUGCACUUUUUGUAUUGGCAGUGAACUGGGUUGGAUUAACUUGCAUUAUUUUUAAAAGGUCUACUGUUUGGUUAACUUAUAUGUGUCAUUAACUGCUUUAUUGUGAUGCUUUAUCAAAAUAGUAGUUCCGUGAACUGGGUGGAUAAAAUAAUUUUAAUAUAUUUAACUUACUCUGCUGUCUUUCCCCAGUAUUUGGUUUCUGCUGUUCUCUCUAACUGAACCUCCUGAUCAUUUGGGAUGAAACUUAGGGAAAUUUAAGAAACAAAACCUGGUAACAAAGGCUGGUCUGGGUUUCUCUGUUUUGCUGGGAUCUGGGUUGGGAGGAGGAGAAAGUUGCAUUAGGUGGGGUGUGUACCAGUCUGUGAAAAGGGUUGUGCACCAUCCCUAGUGAUACAUAAGAACUGUUAUUCUGUCACUCCCAUGGUGAAUGUGUACUGACCUCCACUGUGUGCUGAUUGAGGGGGCACUAACAAGGUCCAAGUGUUACCUGUAGGCUAGAAGAGAAUUUCUGAAGCCUCAAAAAUGGAUGUUGUAUGUAAGGCUCCGGGUAAGUUUCCAUGUACCUCCUAGUGCCAGGUACAAGCCUCUUCUUCAUCGUGCCAGCUUCAAAAACAUUGGCACCUCAGGGAGAAGGGGUGUGUGCUUCCAGGUUGGAUUUCAGCUGAGGACACAGCAUCUCAUCUGCUCACAGAGGGGCUUUGCUGGGUCCUGGCUCUACAUACAGAUAUUAUGUGUACAUUUUGGUUUGGGAUGAGCACAUGCCCUUGGUUCAUGCACAGCUGGUGUGCCUCAGAGUUAAACACUUUUUAUCAUGAAAUACAGGUGGUUGGAUGGCUUCAACACUGAGCAGACAGCUGUGUAUUUAAAUGUGACCUUCUACCCAGUCAGUCUCAUAACCUGCAUUUUGAAUAUGGUAUUUAGGUAAAUGCUGUGCUGAGCCUGAGGAAUUGUUAAAACUGACACCACGACGGUAUGCUAAUGCAAUUAGAUGACUUGCAGUGUUGAGAUUUGGCCUUUGUUUGGGCUCAGUUGCAGUUUAACCAGAUGCAAAAAUAUGUAGACAGUGACUUGUACACUGCUGAAACAAGCCUAGCAGAGCAAAGGUGAGAUCCACGUGUCAAAGGUGAUGCUACAGACAGCUGCCACAAGAUCUGCCAGCGACACUUCAUAUUUCCACUUGAGACAGGACUGGGAGGAGGCAUCAAAGCAGUGAGUACCAUCUGGAUGUGUCCAUGAGAUGUUGUUUGGGGUGUGGGGGGAUUUAUUAUUUGUAGAAGGCUGUUGACUGUGUGUUGAGGUUAUCUUGACACAGGAGGAGAGGCUCCAAACACCUGAUCUGUAUCGUGUUCGUGCAGCCACAGUGAAUCACUGCUACUUUGCCCUUCUGCUGCUUGGAGGUGCUGCGUAGAUGCCAAGUCUCAUUCAGUAAAUGAUGCAAGGAUUUGGAAAGCAGAGUAGUGAGUAGAGACGGUGUCCUGCCAGUAAUUGCUGGAAGCGGAGGAGAAGGGAGCUGUAGGAUGUUGGCACACGGAGAAGCGCAGAAAUAUUCCUACUCUGGCUGAUGGCUUUUAAUAGAUAUUUUUAUUGUAAUUGAAAAUUGUCUCAUCAUCCCAUUUCCUGUUCCAGUCAGCAUCGUUUAUCCUCAUUCCAAGCGUGAUUCUGAUGAAUAACACUGUCCAGUGGCACAGGGUAUCUACCAGUAUUGCUUCAGCCAACAAUUCUCUGGGACACAAGCAUGAGCAGCGCAAAAGGAAGAGGGAAAAAAAAAUCCUGUGUAGGAGUGUGCAGGUGGUGUGCUUGUAUGCUCAGUUCUUAAUAACAGUGGAAAUAAUCUCGGAGUUGCUUGUAAACUGUUACAUUCAAAUGACAAAUUAACUUUUUUGUUUACCACUGCUGAUUUUUCUUCUUUGAAUGGUUAAAUAAAUCACCAUGAGGUAUUUUCAUUUAGUAUGGCUCCAGAUCAUUUUGGACUAUGUUCAUGUAAUUUACUCACUGCAUUUAUAUCUGUUGCAUCAGUCAUCCUGUAAUUAUGAUAUUAAUUAAGAUUUUUAUUUUUGUGCUAAGUUAAUUAUGUACUGCUCCAUGCCUACUUUAGCAAGUAAACUCUAUUGUAAUAUAGUAUUACUUUAUGGUUAUUUUUUUACAUCUCUUGAUAAUUUUGCAUUUCACAUUCCAAUAGAAAGUAAAAAUGGAAAUAUAAAAAAUAACCUGGAAAUGGAGGAGGAUAAAAUGGGACAGUAUAUCAGUUCUCAGCAGAAUUAACAAAAACAAUUUAGGGUCUUCACUGUUCAAUAGUGAAAUACAAAGUAACAGAGAAGAGCCAAACAAAAUUAUUUAGAGCAAGCAGUUUAUAGAGGAAAGUGAGAGAAAAAGCAGUUUAUUUCCCAUUCAGAGCAUUAAUGCUUCUAUUAGUAGGUUCCCACACCUUACUGUUAAUUGCUAGAUGUGUAAGUUGUUUCCUCAUUGAAAUAAUGACCUUAGCCACCCAAAGUUCAAGGUUUUAAGGAAUGUUAGGAACACAGAGUGAAGCAGCUGAUGCAUUUCUGUAGGGCAGUGCUGGUGGCUGCCUGCCUAAGCCUGGCCUCCCUCGUGCUCCUCCAGCUCUUGCCAGUCCUCUGUGCCAUGAGAUAAAGUUCUUCAGUGCUGUAAAGACUUCAGAAUCUCAAUGCAAGCCAAGGGUAUUUAAAAUUGAUGCCUACAAAGACUUUGGGUGUUUUCAGAGUGUUAGUUGACUGUAUACUUUGAGAAUUGCCAUGUUGGACUAAAUGAGUGUUACUUGUGUGUUGCUCUUGAUUUCUGACUAAAACACUCUGGAGGUCAGUGGAUAUUUUGGUAUCAUGUCUGUUAUUUCUAAAAUAGUGUCUGUAUUAUAAUAUAAUGUACAGAACCUGAAAUCAGGAUCCAGUGUGUGACUAGACUGACAUAUGAAGUGAGCAUGUUAUUUUCCUGAUCAGCUUCAAGUUAACUAAAUCUAAAAACCUAGAUAGAUCUCUCAACAGUAGUUACAAAAUUGAGUAUGUACAAGUAAUUUGGUGCAAUUGUGCAAAGCUAGGAGUAUCUUUGUUUCCUCUCUUGAACUUCCAUUCUUCUUCUCCCUACAUUUUCUCUUUUGUACCUUCCUGAUUGUUUUCUCUUAUUUUAAUGUACCCCUGUGGACUUUCUUUUUGUGUUAGUUUCAUAAAUCUACUGAGCUUACUCUGUUUAAGUGUGUUGCUGUUUGCAGCAGUGACUGCAGAUCAGUGGUAUCACAAAAUGCUCUGUUUAGCUUUAAUGGAGAGUACAGCGUGCUCACACUGGAGCUGUACUCAUUUAUUAUCAUAAUGCCCUCUCCUGUACCAGAAGUGAUGCAGCAUUUGAAAAAUGGAAAUCACAAUAUACACUAACUUCACCAGCUCAUAAAAUAUAAAUGCUCUGAAAAUGAAUACAGUGUUAAAUACAGUUAAUCAGCUUUAGAAAACCAAAAAAUAUGUAUUUAUCACUAUAAUGCGUACAUGCAUGGCAUAUUAAUGAAAAAUACCAGAUACUUCAUUUUCUGUGUUUAUUCUACACUGUGCUCAUUACUCUCAUUCAAAUAAUUUAAAUUUGCUUUCAGGACGAGGACUAUUUGCUACUGAUGGGAAAAGUUUGGAUGUCUUCUGUGCCAUAUUUUUCUUUGAGGCUGUGAAGCAGAGUCUGUGCACUGAAUAUAAAGCCAGAUGUGCUGGAGAUUUUGCACAUUGGACUGGCAGAGUAGACCUUUAAAACUGUUGAGCUGUAGUUGUAGUUGCACAUGGUGCAUUGUUAGGAAGUGUAUCAUAAAAAUAUAAGACUUUAUUAAACUCAGUUUAACAGCCUGCCUCAGUUGAGAGUGUGAGACUGUGACUUCUGCUGAAUUUUGCUGCGUGAAGGUUUUUUUAUGCUUCUGUACUUCAGGUAAUGUGCUUAAGUCAAAACCAAGAAAGUGUCCUUGGUUGAGUGUUUGUUUAAUGAAUGAUGAAGAGAAAAUUAUGAAAACAAGCAAAUAUUUUAUUUCAGUCAGUUUUUCCUUGUGAAUCUGUCUGGUGUGCUUUAAAGAUUUCUUUUGCCUGAUGUAGUUUCUUUUCAAGGUGAGGUGGUACCAGAACAUCUCAUUCUUUCAAUUAGUAGUGAAUCCUGUCUUGAAAUAAGAUGGUUGACCAAUGGUGGGAGAAGGUGAGUGCAUCCAAUAGAAAUCCUGUAGAAAAAAUCAAGUCACUUUAAAUUUAUUCCAUAAAGUUACUUAAAGGUGAACUGGAGAGAAAAAGUAGAUGUAAUUGUCCUAAAUUACACUGUUUCUUUGAAGUUAAAUAGGUAUUCAUGUGUUUUCUUUAAAAAAAAAUAAAAAUUCAAGUACAUGUUCUAGUCAAGUUUUUGUUCCAAAAAAGCUAUGGAAAAUAUUCAUUUAAACCUCAGGGAAAAUAUGGAAAUUCUGUUAUUUAUUUUUUGCUGAAUACAAGUGGUGAUUUGUGAGAACUACACUGGAUGGCCAAUAUCUUACUUGUCAGUAUUGGGUUAAAGGUUCUUAUUUGACUCUGAUGCAAUUGAUGUGGAUAGAGGACUGCUGAAAGACAAUUCAAGUGUAGGCCUUGGCACUGAUGUUGCAUUAUCCAACUCUUAUGUCAGGAGUUGUUUUGCUAAAAGUGUGAGUAAUGCAGUGACAUUGACUUGUUUUUUCAAGUGAUUUGUAAUUUUUUCUGUACCUUUUAAGACCAUGUUUUUAGUAUCCAUGUUUCAGCUCUGUUGAUGGUUUCAUUGCCUCAACACCUUUGUGGAUUGGGUUUAGCAUCUGUGGGCCAUGAAUCAGUUUGGUAAUCAUCCCAUUCAGUCUGCUCAGCCAUGUGCAGUCAAAGUCAAACAGUCUGCUAAGAAAAUUCAGAAUCACCUGUAAGUUUGCAGGUGUAACUCUUACUGUGGCAAAUGCCCUGUGAAUUCAGAAUUGAAGUGUGCUCCACUUACUGGAUUUUUUUACUUACAGCCCAUGUUCCUGGUUCUGGUGGUGCUAGUUUGGCAAAAACCGGGCAUAGUCUGUUCCCCUUUUGGAGCUGUGACGAACGUGGUGGGAAAACCGUUCACUUUUUAAGAAGCCCGUUCUUUGCCUCCCCAAUUCCCAAAAUAUGCUCCAUUUACCUAAAUCUUUCUUCAAUUUCAAUCUGUAGAGUUUCUUCUCUUAAUAAAGUAUGCUAAUAAAAAUUCAUGAAAAUAGCAGCAUAUGAUUCGCUUGUCAAGGAAUUAUCUUCCCAUAAUACCCCCCGUGAUGUAACAUUACUUUUUCUCCCAUUCUAUACUCCUCAUUUAAUGGUGCCGAGGUGUGUACCAUCAAUCAUUUCAUUCAUCAAUCAUUCAUAAAGAUUACUUCUGUCAUCUUUAUUGCUUGCUCAAUCACUUUGAUACCUUCAUCUUAUCCUUCCUAUUUUUGCUCUCUGUGGUCUUAAAAAAUAUGGAUGCUUGUGUUGGUAGCAGAGCUGUGCUGAUGAACCUGCUUGUAAAGUCCUCUGCUGUUCAAAGGAGUCUGUCUCUCCAUGUCAUUACUGGUGUCACUGUUCUUGAGAACAGCUUUUUAGCUCUUUAUUCCUCUGGGUGUUUUCCUUUCCCCUUCCAUUGUUUGUCACAGCUCUGCAGCCAUCUCUCACUCCCUGGUUGUUUUGGUAUCUCCGCUGCUUCUGGUGUCAAUGUUAUCUUUUUUCCCUUAAGUCUGUAAUGCUAAAUUUUCUGAAUUAUUCAUAAGACCAUAUAUGAACACCUGCAUCUAUUAUUCAGAACUCCUAAUUUCUUUUAUGCUAGAGCCUAGAACCUCUUUUACAAUUCAGUAAUAAAUGAGAGCCUUCAUUUUAUGCAGAGGUUUUUUUUGCCAACUGUCUUUUAGUUAAUUCUGCAGAGCCCUGCAGUGCAACGAGCUACAAACUUAGAAUAAUUUAG
Parus major (Great Tit) is the source of this 11692-nucleotide long non-coding RNA. RefSeq lists it as uncharacterized. The record is from RefSeq and is a predicted model, not a curated record. Lineage: Eukaryota; Metazoa; Chordata; Aves; Passeriformes; Paridae. The transcript is spliced from 3 exons.